RNAcentral lists this ribosomal RNA (249 nucleotides) under Salmonella enterica subsp. enterica serovar Oslo. RNAcentral describes it as "partial 23S ribosomal RNA". It matches the Rfam family "Bacterial large subunit ribosomal RNA", at positions 2699 to 2925 of the family's 2925-position model. Lineage: Bacteria; Pseudomonadati; Pseudomonadota; Gammaproteobacteria; Enterobacterales; Enterobacteriaceae. The record is from RNAcentral.
GGACGCAUCACUGGUGUUCGGGUUGUCAUGCCAAUGGCACUGCCCGGUAGCUAAAUGCGGAAGAGAUAAGUGCUGAAAGCAUCUAAGCACGAAACUUGCCCCGAGAUGAGUUCUCCCUGAGACUUUAGGUCUCCUGAAGGAACGUUGAAGACGACGACGUUGAUAGGCCGGGUGUGUAAGCGCAGCGAUGCGUUGAGCUAACCGGUACUAAUGAACCGUGAGGCUUAACCUUACAACGCCGAAGCUGUU